CUGGAUGCUCUGGUUUUCUCCCACCCCUCAAAGAUGUGCAUGUUGAGUUCACCGGCGUGUCUACAUGGUCCUGGUGUGAGUGUGGGGUGUGUGUGAGUGCGCCCUGCGAUGUGACAGUGUCCUGUUCAGGGCUCGUUCUUACCUUAAGCCCUGAGCUGCUGGAAUGAGCUACAGCAACCGGAGACUGGAGACUCUGGCAACCUGGAAAACUGUUAUUAUUGACAUCAGCCCAAGAAGAAUGCAAUGUCCAGGAAGCUAUCAAAGGAAUAAAACUACAUGAGCACAUACUUCUCUUCCAAUUCAAGAGUGGCCCGCCUUAUCCCUUCACAGGCUGACUUCUCAUCUUACUGUGGCAGCCUCUGCUGCUGUUACCUGCUUGAGGCUUUCUUAUUGUGGGCCUCCCACUCGUGUUUCCGAUUGAGGAAGCCUUCCAUCUGGGCCGAAGGUGUCUCCUGGGUUCUGGCUGGGACAGCGGAGAGGCCAUUCAGCUAACUCCGUGAACCAUGGGGGUGACCACAUACGCUCUACCUGACUCGCACAUGUGGCUGUGUAUAAAUGCCUGGCACAGAUCGAGGCAGUA
Long non-coding RNA from Pongo pygmaeus (Bornean orangutan), 580 nucleotides. RefSeq lists it as uncharacterized. The record is from RefSeq and is a predicted model, not a curated record. NCBI's taxonomy places the organism in Eukaryota, Metazoa, Chordata, Mammalia, Primates, Hominidae. The transcript is spliced from 3 exons.